CGGAAGGAUCAUUACAGUUAUUAAUUCUUUGCCAGCGCUUAAUUGCGCGGCGGGAACUAAUCCUUACACACUGUGUUUUUUGUUAUUACAAGAACUAUUGCUUUGGCUUGGCCUUCGGGUUGGGCCAGAGACUUGAAUAAACUUCAAUUUUUUAUUGAAUUGUUUUUUAAAUUAUUGUCAAUUUGUUUGAUUAAAUUCAAAAUAAUCUUCAAAACUUUCAACAACGGAUCUCUUGGUUCUCGCAUCGAUGAAGAACGCAGCGAAAUGCGAUAAGUAAUAUGAAUUGCAGAUUUUCGUGAAUCAUCGAAUCUUUGAACGCACAUUGCGCCCUUUGGUAUUCCAAGGGGCAUGCCUGUUUGAGCGUCGUUUCUCUCUCAAACCUUUGGGUUUGGUAUUGAGUGAUACUCUUAGUCAGACUAGGCGUUUGCUUGAAAUGUAUCGGCAUGAGUGCGCUAGAUAGUGCUUUCUGAUUAUUCAAUGUAUUAGGUUUAUCCAACUCGUUGAAGGAUCAGGUGUAAAUUUCUGGUGGCAAUUGCUCGGCCUUACAACGACAAACAAGUUUGACCUCAAAUCAGGUAAGAAUACCCGCUGAACUUAAGCAUAUCAA
RNAcentral lists this ribosomal RNA (607 nucleotides) under uncultured Candida. RNAcentral's name for it is "eukaryotic LSU rRNA". The stretch from base 213 to 366 matches the Rfam family "5.8S ribosomal RNA". The record is from RNAcentral. Lineage: Eukaryota; Fungi; Ascomycota; Saccharomycetes; Saccharomycetales.